This is a long non-coding RNA of Salvia splendens (bonfire salvia), 767 nucleotides long. RefSeq lists it as uncharacterized. The transcript is spliced from 2 exons. The record is from RefSeq and is a predicted model, not a curated record. Lineage: Eukaryota; Viridiplantae; Streptophyta; Magnoliopsida; Lamiales; Lamiaceae.
UAAAAUUAAAAAAAUUAAUUAGUUCAAAUGCGUCGGAAGUCGUAAAUAAAUUAAAUUCUAGAAGUGUGUAGAUGGUUUCUUAUUAUGUGAAUUAUUUGUUUGUGUGGUGUUUAUUAUCAGAAAUAGAGAAAGAAUAAAAGAAAAGAAGGAAAUGAAAUAGAGAAUAAGAAAAAGAGGAGGUUGGAAGGGUGAAAGAUUUUUAUCUCUACUCCCUUCUAGAACCCACGUAACAAAAAAAUCAUCUCCCACCCCCAUUCUACAUUUUUUUUCACUCUCUUUUGCACAAAGGCACACACUCUAGUACGCAAGGUGAGAACUCUCCCUUCGGACGAUUCGCUGCUCCUCCGGCGACAGCGAGGAAGCUCCCCUCAUCUCCUCCCUGUCUGGAUACCUCUCUACUCACCUACACUCAUCACCAUCUCUCUCCGCUGAAUUGUCGUCGUUGUCGACUGCUCGGCAGUUUCCGUCGCCGGUUUUCGACAAUAUUAGAGUAGACUUGUCUUCCCUUUGAGUAAUCCUGGCCUGAGGGAUAGCACGGGCAAGGAGAAGGCGAAUGAGUAAAGUGAUCUAGUACGACAUUUUGGAUUUUAAGAUUAGGUGAUCAGACUAGCUCUUUUGCUGUACAGCUGCUCAAGUCGGGUCACUAGCCAAGCUUUUGCGUUGGGUAAAUCUUUUGGAUUUGAUAAAUGUGGCAUGUAGUAGGAGUGUAAUGUACCUUGGACGUUAUAUUACUUCAUAAACUUUUGCUAAGCAUGUAUAUUUUGUGA